RNAcentral lists this ribosomal RNA (926 nucleotides) under uncultured Bacteroidota bacterium. RNAcentral describes it as "bacterial SSU rRNA". It matches the Rfam family "Bacterial small subunit ribosomal RNA", at positions 1 to 917 of the family's 1533-position model. Lineage: Bacteria; Pseudomonadati; Bacteroidota. The record is from RNAcentral.
UGGAUCCAGACUUUGAUUAUGGCUCAGGAUGAACGCUAGCUACAGGCUUAACACAUGCAAGUCGAGGGGAAACGACAUCGAAAGCUUGCUUUUGAUGGGCGUCGACCGGCGCACGGGUGAGUAACGCGUAUCCAACCUGCCCACCACUUGGGGAUAACCUUGCGAAAGUAAGACUAAUACCCAAUGACGUCUCUAGAAGACAUCUGAAAGAGAUUAAAGAUUUAUCGGUGAUGGAUGGGGAUGCGUCUGAUUAGCUUGUUGGCGGGGUAACGGCCCACCAAGGCAACGAUCAGUAGGGGUUCUGAGAGGAAGGUCCCCCACCUUGGAACUGAGACACGGUCCAAACUCCUACGGGAGGCAGCAGUGAGGAAUAUUGGUCAAUGGACGAGAGUCUGAACCAGCCAAGUAGCGUGCAGGAUGACGGCCCUAUGGGUUGUAAACUGCUUUUAUAAGGGAAUAAAGUGAGUCUCGUGAGACUUUUUGCAUGUACCUUAUGAAUAAGGACCGGCUAAUUCCGUGCCAGCAGCCGCGGUAAUACGGAAGGUCCGGGCGUUAUCCGGAUUUAUUGGGUUUAAAGGGAGCGUAGGCCGGAGAUUAAGCGUGUUGUGAAAUGUAGACGCUCAACGUCUGCACUGCAGCGCGAACUGGUUUCCUUGAGUACGCACAAAGUGGGCGGAAUUCGUGGUGUAGCGGUGAAAUGCUUAGAUAUCACGAAGAACUCCGAUUGCGAAGGCAGCUCACUGGAGCGCAACUGACGCUGAAGCUCGAAAGUGCGGGUAUUGAACAGGAUUAGAUACCCUGGUAGUCCGCACGGUAAACGAUGGAUGCCCGCUGUUGGUCUGAAUAGGUCAGCGGCCAAGCGAAAGCAUUAAGCAUCCCACCUGGGGAGUACGCCGGCAACGGUGCAACUCAAAGGAAUUGACGGA